GUCGAGCGGAACGAUCCUAGCUUGCUAGGAGGCGUCGAGCGGCGGACGGGUGAGUAACGCGUGAGAAUCUACCCAUGAGUGGGGGACAACCCGGGGAAACUCGGGCUAAUACCGCAUACGCCCUACGGGGUAAAGCAGGGGACCUUCGGGCCUUGCGCUGAUGGAUGAGCUCGCGUCGGGAUUAGCUUGUUGGUGAGGUAAAGGCUCACCAAGGCGACGAUCCGUAGCUGGUCUGAGAGGAUGAUCAGCCACACCGGGACUGAGACACGGCCCGGACUCCUACGGGAGGCAGCAGUGGGGAAUCUUGGACAAUGGGGGCAACCCUGAUCCAGCCAUGCCGCGUGUGUGAAGAAGGCCUUCGGGUUGUAAAGCACUUUCAGUAGGGAGGAAGGCUUACCCCUAAUACGGGUGAGUACUUGACGUUACCUACAGAAGAAGCACCGGCUAAUUUCGUGCCAGCAGCCGCGGUAAUACGAAAGGUGCAAGCGUUAAUCGGAAUUACUGGGCGUAAAGUGCGCGUAGGCGGUGUGUUAAGUCGGAUGUGAAAAGCCCAGGGCUCAACCUUGGAAUUGCAUCCGAUACUGGCACGCUAGAGUGCAGUAGAGGGAGGUGGAAUUUCCGGUGUAGCGGGUGAAAUGCGUAGAGAUCGGAAGGAACACCAGUGGCGAAGGCGGCCUCCUGGACUGACACUGACGCUGAGGUGCGAAAAGCGUGGGGAGCAAACAGGAUUAGAUACCCUGGUAGUCCACGCUGUAAACGAUGUCUACUAGCCGUCGGGGUCCUUAGUGACUUUGGUGGCGCANCUAACGCGAUAAA
This 816-nucleotide ribosomal RNA is filed under the name uncultured Oceanospirillales bacterium. Its description in RNAcentral is "SSU rRNA". It matches the Rfam family "Bacterial small subunit ribosomal RNA", at positions 61 to 864 of the family's 1533-position model. The record is from RNAcentral. Lineage: Bacteria; Pseudomonadati; Pseudomonadota; Gammaproteobacteria; Oceanospirillales.